RNAcentral lists this ribosomal RNA (433 nucleotides) under uncultured bacterium. RNAcentral describes it as "partial 16S ribosomal RNA". It matches the Rfam family "Bacterial small subunit ribosomal RNA", at positions 29 to 507 of the family's 1533-position model. The record is from RNAcentral.
AACGAACGCUGGCGGCAUGCCUAACACAUGCAAGUCGAACGAGACCUUCGGGUCUAGUGGCGCACGGGUGCGUAACGCGUGGGAACCUUCCCUUAGGUUCGGAAUAACUCCCCGAAAGGGGUGCUAAUACCGGAUAAUGUCUUCGGACCAAAGAUUUAUCGCCUUUGGAUGGGCCCGCGUUGGAUUAGCUAGUUGGUAGGGUAAAAGCCUACCAAGGCGAAGAUCCAUAGCUGGUCUGAGAGGAUGAUCAGCCACACUGGGACUGAGACACGGCCCAGACUCCUACGGGAGGCAGCAGUGGGGAAUAGUGGACAAUGGGCGAAAGCCUGAUCCAGCAAUGCCGCGUGAGUGAUGAAGGCCUUAGGGUUGUAAAGCUCUUUUACCCGGGAUGAUAAUGACAGUACCGGGAGAAUAAGCUCCGGCUAACUCCGUG